This 402-nucleotide ribosomal RNA is filed under the name bacterium. Its description in RNAcentral is "partial 16S ribosomal RNA". It matches the Rfam family "Bacterial small subunit ribosomal RNA", at positions 355 to 776 of the family's 1533-position model. The record is from RNAcentral.
UGGGGAAUUUUGCACAAUGGGGGAAACCCUGAUGCAGCGACGCCGCGUGAUUUAGAAGGCCUUCGGGUUGUAAAAAUCUUUUCUAUGGGAAGAAAAUGACAGUACCAUAGGAAUAAGGACCGGCUAAUUACGUGCCAGCAGCCGCGUUAAUACGUAAGGUCCGAGCGUUGUCCGGAAUCAUUGGGCGUAAAGGGUACGUAGGCGGGUAAGCAAGUUAGAAGUGAAAUCCUAUAGCUCAACUAUAGUAAGCUUUUAAAACUGCUCAGCUUGGAGUAUGGAAGGGAGAGUGGAAUUCCUAGUGUAGGGGUGAAAUGCGCAGAUAUGAGGAGGAAUACCGGUGGCGAAGGCGACUUUCUGGCCAGAACCUGACGCUGAGGUACGAAAGCGUGGGUAGGAAACAGG